CGGCCCCAACGCUACUUAUAGCCCCUUGGCCCUUGACGGGACUGGGCUGGACACAGGCGGCCUCCGUCCCUACCCAGGCACCCUACCAGGAUUGGAACCUGGAUUCUAGCCUGGGAUUCUCAGGUGAGCCUCCAGGAACACUUUCUUCUGCUUCAAUCCCUCCCCUUUUGGGUUCAGUUAAGCCUCUGCCUUUAGGAGCAUCCUGCUGUUUUUCCUUCUUGUAGGCCCUUUACAGCUAUGUUGUCUGUUUUCAUGUUUGUCCUGUUUUAGGUCUAUUUGUGCCUUUACAGUUGAUUUUCUUUUUUUUUUUCCCUAGAAAAAAUUUCGGUAUCUUGGGGUGUACACAUAGGUUUUUGGCCAAGAGAGCCUUCAUUCUGCUGGAAAACACUUAUACUAAUACUAAAUGUUUUUUGAUUAUACAGGAUCAGUUAAGAUUCCCAUCAGCCACAGUCACAGACACCUGAAUCUACAGAUACUGAAUUUGCUUUCUCCCUGUUUUGUUUAUUUGCAAGAUAAAUUCUUAGACUAGUUAUGUAGGCUAUAAAUUUGAGUCUAUUCUACCAGACAGCCAAUUGGGAAAUUGCUAUAAGCAUGGGUGCAUGGCUUGCUUCCUAUUCAGCCUGGCAUGACAAAGGUUAAAACUCUUGAGUGAAAAUAUGUACAAAGUUUUUUAAGAAGCUUGCUAAUUAAAGAAUUGGGUAUAGUGAACAAUAGAAUCUCUGGGGACUAUGCUUAAGAAUUUUACACCCAAACACCAAUAAUAAUAUUCAAAGGAUUAGCCUUAGGGAAAAAAAUCAGUUAGGGACAUAGAAUUUAGAAUUUACUUUUUCCCUUUGUAGAAAGUAAGGAGGAUACUCCAUUGUUUUCAUUUUCAUUGUUUAUUUGUACUAUCUGUAUAUUAGUAGAUGCUUUCAAGCUUUACUUUAGCUCGUACCUCUACCCUCAGUCUGAUCAGCUGAGGAGAAGAAAUUGUGGAUAAUACAACUUUUACUAUUGUUAAAAUAUACAUGUACAUACAUAUAUAUAUGCAUUGCCUUUCCCAUCAAUGCUGGCCACAUUGAAAUAGGACUGAGACAAAAGAAAGAAAUUGAACUAAUCAGAAACCAUGUAUAUGACAGAGAAAUGCUUUAAUUAGAAUUUAAAAUUUAAUAAAUUUAAUUUGAAAUAUCUAAGUUAGGCCCAUUUCAAAAUGAUGAGUGUUUAUGUUAAAGGUUAAUAAUUCUAAGCUAGGAGAAUUGAACAACUUUGAAAGCGAUAAAUCUCAAUUUUAAAUUGUGCUCUUACUAUUUGAAAUUUGAAAUGUAGAAAACUUACAGGGUCUGAAUAUGGAAAUCAUAAUUCAGUAUUUGCGACAUUAUAGAAUUACAGAAAUAUCUGUGAUUCUGUGAACUCUGGUGAAAGUAUUCCAGUAAUAAUCCUAAAAUCUACCUGGUUGACAGGAAAAAUUGUGUUCUCUGAUAACUUCUCAGUUAUAUAAGGUUCAAGAAUCUCAUGUGCAUUGAUGACCUUAAAUCAAGCAAAUCAUUAUAAGUUAAUGAUGAAAGGUUAAUUGAAAUGUAAAAAUCUAUCAACAUUGUGAUAACUAUAAUAAUAACUAUAAUACUCAAAGGGUUUUAAUAUUGUUAAACAUAAUUAAUGGAUUGAAUCUUGGAAGAAGUGAAUUAAUAUUUGAGAGAGUUUUCAGGGUGAUGCCCAAAAUGUUCGAUCCUCUGUUAAAUUCUUGUCAGAGUUAAAUUUCAAAAAAUGUACUAAAAAGUUUAGUACCUGAAAUCACCUCCUUGUUGCAAGGUACUGUUUAAAAACUAAAUCUUUGAACAGAAACUUUAUUCUAAAAACUUCUCAUGAUUCCUUUGUCUUUUAAUUGAGAAAAUAAUUGUUCAUGCUAUUGUCUGUGAAGUUCCAUUCUGGAGAUUUUAAAAUGCCACUCUAUUUAAAAUUUUGUAUAAAUUCUCUUUUAUUUUACUUUUAGUAUGUUGUCUGAUGUACUUAGAAGUAAGUUUUUCUGUUAAUUGUCUUUGAACUUGAGAGACUUCUGAAUUGUAUACUGCAAUGUUAUAAAUUCACCCAAACUAUUGCUACAAGUCUGACUAGAGCUCCAUCAAGCUUCUAUUACUCUUUUAUAUCAAACAUUUUAGCAUUCUAAUAAAGGAAAUUGUAAAGAGAAUGGAUGUGAAUCUCAUCACAUGAAGAUAUUUAAAUGAAAAGUUAAUACAGUUUCUUAAUGUGGUAGAAUUUGUUCCAUGAAGGGGAAAACCUGUUUGAACAGUCUAGCCUUGAAGUUAAAAAUCCAAUAUUGGUCAUCUCUAUAAGUUAUUCUAUUGUAUUCUAUUCUGUUCUAUAAGUUAUUCUAUUUUAAAUGGAGAGAUUGAUAAUUGCUUCCUUACCACUUGGAUUCUUCAGUAGUUUGGGAUGUCUUUCACACUCAUGUGUUAUUUCUUUGUUUGGAUUUGUCAUUUCUUUUCAUCUAACUCCUUUGGAAGUUGCUUUUACUUCACUUUUUGACCAUUUUUUACAUGCAAAUUGCUGCUGCUGCCCUAUGUCGAAACCUGUGGUUCCUGUCUCCCUUAUGGAGGAACCUCUGCUACUUCUUCUUCUUUUUUCUUUUUUCUUUUUUUUUGCAUGUUGGCCUAAAAGAUGAGAUUUGGUGAGUGAUUGUGAUCUCUGACAGCUGCAUUGCUAUUUUGUGUAGAGGUUAGAAUCAUAUAAUGUUUGAAUCUGUUAUUUCCUCCUUUUACCAAUAAGACUUUGCUAUUUGAGAAAAUAUUGAGAAUUUUAUUGUAAAAUACUAAUGAGAUUCUUCCUUUCAGGCAUGAUUGUUAUGAGGCUAUUGGACCACCAAUCAGGACAUCAGCAAAACAAUAGAUGGCUCCUAUCAUUUCCUGGAUAAUGGUUGGGGGAGUGACUUGGGGAAGAUCCAGGUAGAUCUCCAUCCUGACUGAGUUGUCAAAAUAAGUCAACCUUGAGCCAGACUGAACCACAUUUAUCAUUCCUAUACCUCUCCCUACCUUCUGCCUGAGAUUAAGUGAGAAACUUAUUUUGUAUUUCCUUUCUUCCUUCUCAUAUAGCAAACUCAAUAAGGAAGUCCAAAGUCCCUUCUUUUGCAAGUGGCAUACUUUGAAGCACUUUUUUUUCUCUACAAGGAUCUACCUCACCUUAAAGCUCUCUCUGCUAUACAUUUUCUGACUUUGUUUCUGUAUGUGUGAAGAUCAAAUCCUAUAGUGUUUCUAUUCUGUCCUUGUCUGUGUAUUUUUUUCCCUACAAGGGGGAAUCUGAUUUCAAGUUUCAUUUAAAAAUAAUGUUCUUUAAUACUACUCCUGUCAUAUUUUACCCCCAGUGUGCUGUCAGAGGUUGUGUGUGUGUGUAUGUAUGUUUGAGGAACUGAAAAAAUGGGAAGUAAAAAGAUACCUCUCAGGCAUUUACUCAGGACAAUGUGGGGCAGAAGAAAUUUCCUAUCCAAUCAGGCAUGACCCAAAUCUGAGUCAUCAGAGUAUCUUCUUGGGCAGUUUUUAUAUCUUUAAAGCCAAACAUUUUAAGGGGACCUCAGAUUAGUUCUCAAAAAUCUGUAUUCAGGGCAUUUGAAAUACUAGCUUAGAAAAUGUCAUUGUUAACUCAUAUGAUUCCUGAGUAUUUCCAACCUUCCCAAGGCCCUCACUGUUAUCCAUUGUAUAAUUCAUACCAGGAAAACGGAUCCUAUUCCCUUGAAAUGACAGAAUAGACUACAUAGCAUAUCAUUUGCGUAACUUUGUUUUCAGCUGUACCACCUUCUACUACACUACAAAGUGACCAAACUGGGACCAUGGAACUACCAAGGAAAAACUCCUGAAUCCAGAGGUGAAUAUUUGGACUUGAGUCUGAUCCUACUAACUAUAACAAUUGUUUGAGAUAGCUUUCUGCAGCUACUGCCUAUGGACAGCCUUCAAGAAAAGAAUAUUGCCAUCACAUCAAAUCACCAAUGUUAAACUAGCAUGCCAGCAUCUCCAAUGACCUCUGACUUUUCAUUUUCUUAUCUCUUCAAUUGUCGUCCAUGCGCCUCAGUAGGGGAAUGCCCUCUCUGGUUCAUGUGUCACCCAUAGAGGAGUGCCCUCUAUGCAUUGAGAUUGUAUUGGCCCACUCUCAGAUUUAUCUGGGGAAGGCCAAAGUGGGAAAUUUAAGCAGCUCAUUUGUAUUAGCUCAAAAAUCUCUUUAUAUUGAUAUCUUGUAACUGUGAUUAUAGUCUGAGGCAAGAGCCUAUGUAUAUAACCAGAAUGUUGUCCCAGGAUAGUACUCGAGUUAUGAUUUUGACUAUAUGUGUUACCAUAUUAAUCACAAGUGAGCUAUGUUAAUUCUAGGUGUGUGAAUCCAUUUUAUAAUGUACUUGUAUCAAACCAAUUCAUGGAAGAAGUUACAGGGACCAGAAUGUCAUCUCUUGUGGGGGUUGGGAAUUUUUCAGAAAUAAAGGGGGUUUGGAAACAUAUUUAACUAUAAAAGUGUAUAUUUUACAACUUGACGUCCCAGGUUUUGAACUGGGGGAAACCUGCAGACCUCUGACCCUGUGAUUUCUCUGCUCAAAAUAAAGCUAGAUCUUUGCUGAGAAA
Molecule: non-coding RNA, 4574 nt
Organism: Monodelphis domestica (gray short-tailed opossum)
Lineage: Eukaryota; Metazoa; Chordata; Mammalia; Didelphimorphia; Didelphidae
Source: RefSeq, a predicted model, not a curated record